RNAcentral lists this ribosomal RNA (492 nucleotides) under uncultured bacterium. RNAcentral describes it as "partial 16S ribosomal RNA". It matches the Rfam family "Bacterial small subunit ribosomal RNA", at positions 29 to 507 of the family's 1533-position model. The record is from RNAcentral.
AGUGAACGCUGGCGGUAGGCCUAACACAUGCAAGUCGAACGGCAGCACAGUAAGAGCUUGCUCUUACGGGUGGCGAGUGGCGGACGGGUGAGGAAUACAUCGGAAUCUACUUUUUCGUGGGGGAUAACGUAGGGAAACUUACGCUAAUACCGCAUACGACCUACGGGUGAAAGCAGGGGAUCUUCGGCCCUUGCGCGAUUGAAUGAGCCGAUGUCGGGUUAGCUAGUUGGCGGGGUAAAGGCCCACCAAGGCGACGAUCCGUAGCUGGUCUGAGAGGUUGAUCAGGCACAAUGGAACUGAGACACGGUCCAGACUCCUACGGGAGGCAGCAGUGGGGAAUAUUGGACAAUGGGCGGAAGCCUGAUCCAGCCAUACCGCGUGGGUGAAGAAGGCCUUUGGGUUGUAAAGCCCUUUUGUUGGGAAAGAAAAGCAGCAGGUUAAUACCCCGCUGUUCUGACGGUACCCAAAGAAUAAGCACCGGCUAACUUCGUG